Long non-coding RNA from Leopardus geoffroyi (Geoffroy's cat), 1124 nucleotides. RefSeq lists it as uncharacterized. The transcript is spliced from 3 exons. The record is from RefSeq and is a predicted model, not a curated record. Lineage: Eukaryota; Metazoa; Chordata; Mammalia; Carnivora; Felidae.
AGCUGGUGGUGUUCGGGGACUGAGGAGCUGGCUGUUCGGGCGGAGGAAGCGUGUGUCACUGUGUGUAUCCGUGAGGGCUGCGCCCUGGGUGUAGCUCAGUGGGAUCCCACCCCAGGCCGGCUCAUGGAGGUCAAGGAAGGACAUGGGGACUCCAGUCUCAGUUUGAAACCAGAAGACCCUGGACCAGCUCUGUCGGGCCACCGGGCCUGUCCUGCUGGGCCUCACCCCUCCACCUUCGGCCCCUCCCCUCUGCUGCUCAGCCUAACUCCUCACCUCUCAUCACCACGAGUUUUACUUCCUGCUGCAACUGUCCCUUGUCAAGGACCAGGGUGUAAAUCCCUGAGUCUGCGAUUUGAAGGCUCUUGAUGACCAGAGGAAAGGAUCCUUGGUCCCACAGGAUUUUUUUGCAUUCAAGGCGAGUUUUCAGCUUGGAGGAGCCUGGGAGCAGAAGCCACGUGUGGUUGGGGUACCCUGAAGACACGACAUCGCCAGAGAGGGCAAUGCCCACAGCCUUUCUGAUCUCAGUCGCUAACUUUCUGCAGAAUCUGUCCCUAAUCCGAAAACCCCAGACUGGAGACGAGUCCCAUCAACAUUCACUUAAUUGGCCAGGACAAUGUCUCACUAAUCCAAAAUAAAAUGAGACCCUUAUUUCAAGAGCACCAACUCCUACAUGCCGAGUACUUUCCACGCAUCAUCGCAAGUGAUCUUCACAAUGAUUCCAAGAAGUAGGUAUUGUUUGGCUUGCUUUGUAGAUAAGGGAACAGAGGCUCAGACUCUUACUUUACACAUUGCUGGCAGGAACAUAAACCAGAACAAUUUCUUCGGAAGGUAAUUUAUAACAUCCGAAUUAUAAAUGCGCAUACAAAAAUAACUGUCCACCAGGAAAGAAUAGGUUAAGUAAAUAAUUCACCCAUUCAGUGGAAUGCUGUACAAGAAGGAAGCUCUUUCACGGUUAAGAAAGGAAUAAUAGUUAAGACACGUCAUUAACUGAAUCGAGCAAGAUAUUGAACAGGCUACCAUUUGUUUAAAAAGGAGGGAGAAAUCUAUCUAUCGAUAUCUAUUUCUCUAUCAUCUGCCUUGUAUAGGAACAAAUAUUUCUAGAAAUAAAUGUAAGAAAAUGGUAA